GAGUUUGAUCAUGGCUCAGAUUGAACGCUGGCGGCAUGCCUUACACAUGCAAGUCGAACGGCAGCACGGGAGCUUGCUCCUGGUGGCGAGUGGCGAACGGGUGAGUAAUGCAUCGGAACGUAUCCUGGAGUGGGGGGAUAACGUAGCGAAAGUUACGCUAAUACCGCAUAUUCUGUGAGCAGGAAAGCGGGGGACCUUCGGGCCUCGCGCUCUUGGAGCGGCCGAUGUCGGAUUAGCUAGUUGGUGAGGUAAAGGCUCACCAAGGCGACGAUCCGUAGCAGGUCUGAGAGGAUGAUCUGCCACACUGGAACUGAGACACGGUCCAGACUCCUACGGGAGGCAGCAGUGGGGAAUUUUGGACAAUGGGGGCAACCCUGAUCCAGCCAUGCCGCGUGAGUGAAGAAGGCCUCGG
This 412-nucleotide ribosomal RNA is filed under the name bacterium enrichment culture clone ALO1_GLFRUDD03GG7H9. RNAcentral describes it as "bacterial SSU rRNA". It matches the Rfam family "Bacterial small subunit ribosomal RNA", at positions 9 to 420 of the family's 1533-position model. The record is from RNAcentral.